UAUAUAUAUAUAUAUAUAUAGAGUGAGGCUACUAUGCUAUCGGAAGCAAUGGCCUUCCGUGCUUCCAGCUCGUUUCGAUGUUGCGACUUUCGAAUCGCUCGAUCGGCUCCGUUAAACUUGAUCUAGAGUAUUCUGAAGUACUAGAAAAUAAAUUUAUGAUUUACGAUAUCAUUUGCCUGUGAACGAAGGGCUCAAAAUCAACGGAUGAAAAUAAAAAUCUUACAAAAAUGUAAUAAUAGACAUUGAAAUUUUAAAUCAAAGAUAUGAUCUUGUUUUAUAUAGUAUAAGAAUUUUCUAUCAAAAUUUCAUGUGAUUUGGAUAUUUCUACACCCGUUAAACUUGCAAACGCUCACUACGGCAUUGAAAUUUGUUGAUUUUGAGCCCAUUCGAUCACUAGGCAAUUGAUAUCGAAAAAUAAUAAAAUUUAUUUUCUAGGUACUCCAAAUACUCUAGAUCAAGUUAACGGAGCCGAUCGACGAUUCGAAAGUCACAACAUCGAAAACGAGCUGGAAGCACGGAAGGCUCCGUGCUUCCUAUAGCAAGUAGCCUCACCUCUAUAUAUAUAUAUAUAUAUAUAUAUAUAUAUAUAUAUAUAAUAUUAGGUCUUGUGUGCUAUUAGGAGCACAGAGGCCUCCGUGCUCCCUAACCGUUUUCAAAUGAUAGAGUUUUCGAAUCGACGAUCAGCUCCGUUAGAUUUGAUCUAACAUAUUUGAAGUAUCUGGAAAAUAAAUUUUGCGGUUUUUCGAUAUUAUUUACUUACUAAUCGAAAGGGUUUAAAAUCAACAAUUUUUAAUGGUUGAUGUAUACCGUUUGCAAAUUUAACAGGUGUAGAAGUAUUCAAACCAGAUGAAAUUUUGAUAGAAAAUUCUUUAUAACUAUUUACAGCAAGAUCAAUUCUUGAUUGAAAUUUAGUGCUAUAUCACACCACUUUUUUGUGAAUUUUUAUUUUCAGCCGUUGAUUUUGAAUCCUUUUCGAUCGCUAGUAAAUGAUAUCGAAAAAUCGUAAAAUUUAUUUUCUAGAUACUUCAAAUAUUCUAGAUCAAGUCUAAUGAGCCGAUCGUCGACUUCGGAAGCUCCAUCAUCGAAACACGCUUAGAGUACGGACCUCCCGUGCUCCUAAUAACACACAAACCUGCUAUAUAUAUAUUAUAUAUAUAUAUAUAGAUAAGAGGAGAGAGAGAGAGAGAGAGAGAGAGAGAGAGAGAGAGAGAGAGAGAGUAGGGCUACUAUACUCUUAUGAGUAUAGAAUCCUUACUACUCAUAAGUUGUUUUCGAUGUUGGAGUUUUCGAAUCGACGAUCGACACCAUUAAACAUGAUCUAGAGUAUUUGAAACUUCAAGAAAAUAAAUUUUAUAAACUUUCGAAAUCAUUAUAAAGUCCAUCAAGCAAGUAUAAAAUGAACGUUUAAAAUCGAAUGACAUCCUAAAAAUGAAUGAUCAAAUCCUUCAAUUUAAGAUCGGAGUUAUUGAUCUUUAUUUAGGUAGUGAAUUGAAUUUUCUAUCAAAAAUUCAACCUUUUUCGAUUCUUUUUCACCGUUAAACUAGCAAAUAUCUCAUACCGGCCGUAAAAAAUUGUCAAUUUUGUGACCGUUUGAUAGUAAGGUAAAAGAUAUCGAAAAAUUAUAAAAUUUAAUUUCUAGAAGUUUUAAAUGCUCUAGAUAAUGCUUAAUAGUAUGGAUCGUCGAUUCGGAAGCUCUAUCAUCGAAAAUAACUUAUGAGUAUGAUAACUUAUGAGUAUGAGGACGAUCGUACUUAUAAGAGUAUAG
This 1765-nucleotide long non-coding RNA is filed under the name Ananas comosus (pineapple). RNAcentral describes it as "long non-coding RNA (ACOM_LNC013728)". The record is from RNAcentral. Lineage: Eukaryota; Viridiplantae; Streptophyta; Magnoliopsida; Poales; Bromeliaceae.